GAAAAGUCUCUGUUUGGUUUCAGCAGAUUUUAUUUCAUAUAAAUAUGUAAUAUUUUGAAUUGGCAAAUUUAGGCUAUCAUCUAAAAAUAUUCCUGUAAAAGCAGCUUUUUAAUAAGGUUCAAAAGAUUCAAAAAGUGAAUGAUUAGUUUCAAUAUCACACUAUGUAAAUAGAAAAUGUUUGUCGUUUUUAUUACAAUGGAUAAGCCUUUGAUAAUUCCUUAUUUCGAUACAAAGAUUUACAUGUUCAACAUCAAACCUUCCGAAAUUGAAAAUCGUGAAAUCAGAUUAUCAUGGAUAAUUUUUUGGAGCGCUUAACACCAAGUGGAAACUUCGUUAGGAGCUUGUGUAGAGAUAGCAACAUGAGAAAUUCACUGCUUAACGUUUCCGCUAUUGAUCUUUAUUUGAGUUCAAGUUGACACUAUACUUUCUACAAGCCUUUUCAUGGAUUUUCUAAAACAAUU
Long non-coding RNA from Diorhabda carinulata, 461 nucleotides. RefSeq lists it as uncharacterized. NCBI's taxonomy places the organism in Eukaryota, Metazoa, Arthropoda, Insecta, Coleoptera, Chrysomelidae. The transcript is spliced from 3 exons. The record is from RefSeq and is a predicted model, not a curated record.